NNNNNNNNNNNNNNNNNNNNNGGGGAAACCCAGUGUGUUUCGACACACUAUCAUUAACUGAAUCCAUAGGUUAAUGAGGCGAACCGGGGGAACUGAAACAUCUAAGUACCCCGAGGAAAAGAAAUCAACCGAGAUUCCCCCAGUAGCGGCGAGCGAACGGGGAGGAGCCCAGAGCCUGAAUCAGUGUGUGUGUUAGUGGAAGCGUCUGGAAAGGCGCGCGAUACAGGGUGACAGCCCCGUACACAAAAAUGCACAUAUUGUGAGCUCGAUGAGUAGGGCGGGACACGUGGUAUCCUGUCUGAAUAUGGGGGGACCAUCCUCCAAGGCUAAAUACUCCUGACUGACCGAUAGUGAACCAGUACCGUGAGGGAAAGGCGAAAAGAACCCCGGCGAGGGGAGUGAAAAAGAACCUGAAACCGUGUACGUACAAGCAGUGGGAGCCUCUUAAUGGGGUGACUGCGUACCUUUUGUAUAAUGGGUCAGCGACUUAUAUUCUGUAGCAAGGUUAACCGAAUAGGGGAGCCGAAGGGAAACCGAGUCUUAACUGGGCGUUAAGUUGCAGGGUAUAGACCCGAAACCCGGUGAUCUAGCCAUGGGCAGGUUGAAGGUUGGGUAACACUAACUGGAGGACCGAACCGACUAAUGUUGAAAAAUUAGCGGAUGACUUGUGGCUGGGGGUGAAAGGCCAAUCAAACCGGGAGAUAGCUGGUUCUCCCCGAAAGCUAUUUAGGUAGCGCCUCGUGAAUUCAUCUCCGGGGGUAGAGCACUGUUUCGGCAAGGGGGUCAUCCCGACUUACCAACCCGAUGCAAACUGCGAAUACCGGAGAAUGUUAUCACGGGAGACACACGGCGGGUGCUAACGUCCGUCGUGAAGAGGGAAACAACCCAGACCGCCAGCUAAGGUCCCAAAGUCAUGGUUAAGUGGGAAACGAUGUGGGAAGGCCCAGACAGCCAGGAUGUUGGCUUAGAAGCAGCCAUCAUUUAAAGAAAGCGUAAUAGCUCACUGGUCGAGUCGGCCUGCGCGGAAGAUGUAACGGGGCUAAACCAUGCACCGAAGCUGCGGCAGCGACGCUUAUGCGUUGUUGGGUAGGGGAGCGUUCUGUAAGCCUGUGAAGGUGUGCUGUGAGGCAUGCUGGAGGUAUCAGAAGUGCGAAUGCUGACAUAAGUAACGAUAAAGCGGGUGAAAAGCCCGCUCGCCGGAAGACCAAGGGUUCCUGUCCAACGUUAAUCGGGGCAGGGUGAGUCGACCCCUAAGGCGAGGCCGAAAGGCGUAGUCGAUGGGAAACAGGUUAAUAUUCCUGUACUUGGUGUUACUGCGAAGGGGGGACGGAGAAGGCUAUGUUGGCCGGGCGACGGUUGUCCCGGUUUAAGCGUGUAGGCUGGUUUUCCAGGCAAAUCCGGAAAACCAAGGCUGAGGCGUGAUGACGAGGCACUACGGUGCUGAAGCGACAAAUGCCCUGCUUCCAGGAAAAGCCUCUAAGCAUCAGGUAACAUCAAAUCGUACCCCAAACCGACACAGGUGGUCAGGUAGAGAAUACCAAGGCGCUUGAGAGAACUCGGGUGAAGGAACUAGGCAAAAUGGUGCCGUAACUUCGGGAGAAGGCACGCUGAUAUGUAGGUGAAGCGACUUGCUCGUGGAGCUGAAAUCAGUCGAAGAUACCAGCUGGCUGCAACUGUUUAUUAAAAACACAGCACUGUGCAAACACGAAAGUGGACGUAUACGGUGUGACGCCUGCCCGGUGCCGGAAGGUUAAUUGAUGGGGUUAGCGGUAACGCGAAGCUCUUGAUCGAAGCCCCGGUAAACGGCGGCCGUAACUAUAACGGUCCUAAGGUAGCGAAAUUCCUUGUCGGGUAAGUUCCGACCUGCACGAAUGGCGUAAUGAUGGCCAGGCUGUCUCCACCCGAGACUCAGUGAAAUUGAACUCGCUGUGAAGAUGCAGUGUACCCGCGGCAAGACGGAAAGACCCCGUGAACCUUUACUAUAGCUUGACACUGAACAUUGAGCCUUGAUGUGUAGGAUAGGUGGGAGGCUUUGAAGUGUGGACGCCAGUCUGCAUGGAGCCGACCUUGAAAUACCACCCUUUAAUGUUUGAUGUUCUAACGUUGGCCCCUAAUCGGGGUUGCGGACAGUGUCUGGUGGGUAGUUUGACUGGGGCGGUCUCCUCCUAAAGAGUAACGGAGGAGCACGAAGGUUGGCUAAUCCUGGUCGGACAUCAGGAGGUUAGUGCAAUGGCAUAAGCCAGCUUGACUGCGAGCGUGACGGCGCGAGCAGGUGCGAAAGCAGGUCAUAGUGAUCCGGUGGUUCUGAAUGGAAGGGCCAUCGCUCAACGGAUAAAAGGUACUCCGGGGAUAACAGGCUGAUACCGCCCAAGAGUUCAUAUCGACGGCGGUGUUUGGCACCUCGAUGUCGGCUCAUCACAUCCUGGGGCUGAAGUAGGUCCCAAGGGUAUGGCUGUUCGCCAUUUAAAGUGGUACGCGAGCUGGGUUUAGAACGUCGUGAGACAGUUCGGUCCCUAUCUGCCGUGGGCGCUGGAGAACUGAGGGGGGCUGCUCCUAGUACGAGAGGACCGGAGUGGACGCAUCACUGGUGUUCGGGUUGUCAUGCCAAUGGCACUGCCCGGUAGCUAAAUGCGGAAGAGAUAAGUGCUGAAAGCAUCUAAGCACGAAACUUGCCCCGAGAUGAGUUCUCCCUGACCCUUUAAGGGUCCUGAAGGAACGUUGAAGACGACGACGUUGAUAGGCCGGGUGUGUAAGCGCAGCGAUGCGUUGAGCUAACCGGUACUAAUGAACCGUGAGGCUUAACC
Molecule: ribosomal RNA, 2804 nt
Filed under: Escherichia coli
Lineage: Bacteria; Pseudomonadati; Pseudomonadota; Gammaproteobacteria; Enterobacterales; Enterobacteriaceae
Description: bacterial LSU rRNA
Rfam family: Bacterial large subunit ribosomal RNA
Source: RNAcentral